CGCGGCCUAUCAGCUUGUUGGUGGGGUAGUGGCCUACCAAGGCGACGACGGGUAGCCGGCCUGAGAGGGCGACCGGCCACACUGGGACUGAGACACGGCCCAGACUCCUACGGGAGGCAGCAGUGGGGAAUAUUGCGCAAUGGGCGAAAGCCUGGCGCAGCGACGCCGCGUGAGGGAUGACGGCCUUCGGGUUGUAAACCUCUUUCAGCAGGGACGAAGCGCAAGUGACGGUACCUGCAGAAGAAGCACCGGCUAACUACGUGCCAGCAGCCGCGGUAAUACGUAGGGUGCGAGCGUUGUCCGGAAUUAUUGGGCGUAAAGAGCUCGUAGGCGGUUUGUCGCGUCGACUGUGAAAACCUACAGCUUAACUGUGGGCUUGCAGUCGAUACGGGCAGACUUGAGUUCGGUAGGGGAGACUGGAAUUCCUGGUGUAGCGGUGAAAUGCGCAGAUAUCAGGAGGAACACCGGUGGCGAAGGCGGGUCUCUGGGCCGAUACUGACGCUGAGGAGCGAAAGCGUGGGGAGCGAACAGGAUUAGAUACCCUGGUAGUCCACGCCGUAAACGGUGGGAACUAGGUGUGGGGGACUUCCACGUCCUCCGUGCCGUAGCUAACGCAUUAAGUUCCCCGCCUGGGGAGUACGG
Molecule: ribosomal RNA, 642 nt
Filed under: uncultured bacterium
Lineage: Bacteria
Description: bacterial SSU rRNA
Rfam family: Bacterial small subunit ribosomal RNA
Source: RNAcentral